This is a long non-coding RNA of Chelonia mydas (Green sea turtle), 759 nucleotides long. RefSeq lists it as uncharacterized. The transcript has 3 exons. The record is from RefSeq and is a predicted model, not a curated record. NCBI's taxonomy places the organism in Eukaryota, Metazoa, Chordata, Testudines, Cheloniidae.
GGAGCGCGCGCUCCUCCUCCUCAAUCGCAGCUGGGCCCGCUGUAAAGGGGCGCCUGGGGCAGGGACGGCCACGGCGCGAGGGACAGUCGGAGCAACACGUGCGCCUUCCUCCCGAGCGACCUUUGCAAACCAAUGGGCGCGUUUGCAAUGGGAGGCUGGUUGCUGGAAUGACUCGCUUCUUUGUUCGUGGCAGGGGGUGUGGAAAACUCCCGCAUGCAGCAGGGGAGACUAGGCUGUAAUCAGCAACCGGUGCCUGUGCUGCACAAUCUGGCAGGAAACAAUUUUUGGCAAAGAAGGAAGUUUCAGGUUCUGGAAAUUGUCUGAUAAAAUAAAAGAAUGUGUGAUACCCCUCAGAGACUCCGAGAUGCUUCUUCUGCCUCUUUAUGCCCUUUGCAUCUCCUUCUGCAAGAUCCAAUAGCAUCAUGAGAUGUAUAGUUAUGUGGAACCAAAUCCUGCCUGCUUGACUCACACAAGUAGCUCUACUGAUGUCAACAGGACUAUUUGUCCAAGACCUUGAGGAACACACCAGGCACCCCUGCCAACCGGCUUCAGCAGAUAAGGCAGAAGCAGAGAUGCAGCAAAGACGACGUUCAGGGAGGUGCUUCAGCCUGAUGAGAAACAGACCAGGGAACACAAAGAGUACUGGGAAGCCAAUGCAGCAUUUGCUAGGCAAGCGAGAGAGAGGAUGAUAAAAGUUAUGGAGGAUCAGACAGAAAUGCUCAAGUCUUUGAUACAGCUGCAGACUGAGCAGUUCUGUGG